Molecule: non-coding RNA, 220 nt
Filed under: Limosilactobacillus mucosae
Lineage: Bacteria; Bacillati; Bacillota; Bacilli; Lactobacillales; Lactobacillaceae
Description: Lactobacillus mucosae T-box sequence
Rfam family: T-box leader
About the family: Uncharged tRNA acts as the effector for transcription antitermination of genes in the T-box leader family. T-boxes are found upstream of many aminoacyl-tRNA synthetase genes and some amino acid biosynthetic genes usually in Gram-positive bacteria. The anticodon of a specific tRNA base pairs to a specifier sequence within the T-box motif, and the NCCA acceptor tail of the tRNA base pairs to a conserved bulge in the T-box antiterminator hairpin.
Source: RNAcentral
AUUCAAGCAUUGAACGAGAGAGUAGAUCUGGUAAAGCCGUUUAGAGAGACCUUGUUGCUGAAAAAAGGUUCGGUUUGCCAGAUUGAAGGUAGCUCGCGAGCAGAAUUGCUGAAAGCAAGUAGGCAGUUCCGGUUCAUGGCCGAUAUCCCAUGUUUGAGUGGAAGCCUGUCUUUGGAUGGGUUUCAAUUUAGGUGGUACCGCGAGCAGACUCGUCCUAAUU